This 182-nucleotide unclassified non-coding RNA is filed under the name synthetic construct. The record is from RNAcentral.
GGCACACUGAUGCGGUUACGGGGUAAGACGGCCCGAAACACCUAGGCGUGCAAUGCCUCAGCUGCCAACCAGUAUUGAGCCCAGUCCGUGAUAGGGCAAACAAGUUGCACGCGCUUCCGCAGGCACCACCGCAGUGUGGUCCAGCAGUGACUUGUGUAGUCCUCGUGGGAGGCUGGUUUUGA